UAGCCAGGUGUGGUGGUGCAUGCCUGUAGUCCCAGCCACUUUGGAGACUGAGAUAGGAGGAUUGCUUGAGCCUGGAAGGCAGAGGUUGCUGUCAGCUGAGAUCUCACCACUGCACUUCCAGCCUGGGCGACAGAACAAGACCCCUGUCUCAAAAAAAAAAAAAGAAAGAAAUGAGACAGGGGCAAGUGUCCGCGUGGUGAAUCAGCUACUUACAGAGAUGGAUGGUCUGGAAGCACGCCAGCAGGUUUUUAUCAUGGCAGCCACUAACAGGCCAGAUAUAAUUGACCCUGCAAUCCUGCGCCCGGGCCGCCUGGACAAAACACUGUUUGUGGGUUUACCACCCGCUGCAGAUCGCCUUGCCAUCUUAAAAACUAUCACAAAAAAUGGUACCAAACCACCACUGGAUGCAGAUGUAAAUUUGGAAGCAAUUGCUGGUGACCUUCGCUGUGAUUGCUAUACGGGCGCAGAUCUCUCUGCUUUGGUACGAGAAGCUUCUAUCUGUGCCCUGAGACAGGAAAUGGCAAGACAGAAGAGUGGAAAUGAAAAAGGUGAACUCAAGAUUAGUCAUAAGCAUUUUGA
RNAcentral lists this small RNA (579 nucleotides) under Pongo abelii (Sumatran orangutan). RNAcentral describes it as "processed transcript". The record is from RNAcentral. Lineage: Eukaryota; Metazoa; Chordata; Mammalia; Primates; Hominidae.